Molecule: ribosomal RNA, 292 nt
Filed under: uncultured bacterium
Lineage: Bacteria
Description: partial 16S ribosomal RNA
Rfam family: Bacterial small subunit ribosomal RNA
Source: RNAcentral
GUGCCAGCAGCCGCGGUAAUACGGAGGGUGCGAGCGUUGUCCGGAAUCACUGGGCGUAAAGGGCGCGUAGGCGGUGACUUAAGCGUGUGGUGAAAGCCCGGGGCUCAACCCCGGGUCGGCCGUGCGAACUGGGUCACUCGAGCACUGUAGAGGCAGGUGGAAUUCCGGGUGUAGCGGUGGAAUGCGUAGAGAUCCGGAAGAACACCAGUGGCGAAGGCGGCCUGCUGGGCAGUAGCUGACGCUGAGGCGCGACAGCGUGGGGAGCAAACAGGAUUAGAUACCCUGGUAGUCC